Molecule: non-coding RNA, 578 nt
Organism: Arachis ipaensis
Lineage: Eukaryota; Viridiplantae; Streptophyta; Magnoliopsida; Fabales; Fabaceae
Source: RefSeq, a predicted model, not a curated record
UCAUGCAUGAUUAUUCAAUAAUUAGGCAUUAGUUAUUUGUUUAGUUUAUAGAAAUGAAGUGAAGUUUAAUUGCUUAUAGUGAUUGCUUAUAGUCUUUUACAUACUUGAAUUAUGUUAUAUAAUUGACUAUGUUUUCUAUAUUGUUCUUUUUAAGGGGAAGAGAAUUUCAGUCCCUUGAAGAAUAAGAUUACACAAGAGGCUCUAGCACCAAGGCGGACAUUCUACGAUGAUUUAGUCGCUACCGAGGCGGUUGGGAUAUUGCGAAUCGCCAUUAUUGGAUUAAAAGCAGUAAUUUCAAAGAAACUGAUGGAGAACCAGAUUUUAAUGAAUAAGGCCCAUGUAAUUAUCAGUUAGCUAUAUAGAAGGUUUGGACCUGUUUGAAUUGAAGUUGAUUAGUCUGAAAUUUGUACAUCUAUCAUCCGAUGAAUAAGGACCAAGUUUUUUUUUGUACUUUGUAUUAUUUUUUCUUUUCUUUUUUAUAGUGCUAUAAGUAUUUUUUUUUCUUUUCUCAUUUUAUUUGCAUCACGAAACAAAUUUGUACAAUGACUAUUGAUUAAUGAAAGAGGUUAUAAAAAUUU